This 449-nucleotide ribosomal RNA is filed under the name uncultured bacterium. Its description in RNAcentral is "partial 16S ribosomal RNA". It matches the Rfam family "Bacterial small subunit ribosomal RNA", at positions 29 to 523 of the family's 1533-position model. The record is from RNAcentral.
AACGAACGCUGGCGGCAUGCCUAACACAUGCAAGUCGAACGAGAUCUUCGGGUCUAGUGGCGCACGGGUGCGUAACGCGUGGGAAUCUGCCCUUUGGUUCGGAAUAACAGUUGGAAGCGACUGCUAAUACCGGAUGAUGACGAAAGUCCAAAGAUUUAUCGCCAGAGGAUGAGCCCGCGUAGGAUUAGCUAGUUGGUGUGGUAAAGGCGCACCAAGGCGACGAUCCUUAGCUGGUCUGAGAGGAUGAUCAGCCACUCUGGGACUGAGACACGGCCCAGACUCCUACGGGAGGCAGCAGUGGGGAAUAUUGGACAAUGGGCGAAAGCCUGAUCCAGCAAUGCCGCGUGAGUGAUGAAGGCCUUAGGGUUGUAAAGCUCUUUUACCCGGGAUGAUAAUGACAGUACCGGGAGAAUAAGCUCCGGCUAACUCCGUGCCAGCAGCCGCAGUAA